This 492-nucleotide ribosomal RNA is filed under the name uncultured bacterium. RNAcentral describes it as "partial 16S ribosomal RNA". It matches the Rfam family "Bacterial small subunit ribosomal RNA", at positions 28 to 507 of the family's 1533-position model. The record is from RNAcentral.
GAUGAACGCUAGCUAUAGGCUUAACACAUGCAAGUCGAGGGGAAACGGCAUUAUGUGCUUGCACAUUUUGGACGUCGACCGGCGCACGGGUGAGUAUCGCGUAUCCAACCUGCCCUUUACUUGGGGAUACCCCGUUGAAAGACGGCCUAAUACCCGAUGUAAUUCAUUGAUGGCAUCAGAUAUGAAUAAAAGAUUUAUCGGUAAAGGAUGGGGAUGCGUCUGAUUAGCUUGUUGGUGAGGUAACGGCUCACCAAGGCGACGAUCAGUAGGGGUUCUGAGAGGAAGGUCCCCCACAUUGGAACUGAGACACGGUCCAAACUCCUACGGGAGGCAGCAGUGAGGAAUAUUGGUCAAUGGGCGCAAGCCUGAACCAGCCAAGUAGCGUGCAGGAAGACGACCCUAUGGGUUGUAAACUGCUUUUAUACGAGAAUAAUUUGAUGCACGUGUGCGUUAUUGCAUGUAUCGUAUGAAUAAGGACCGGCUAAUUCCGUG